GGGGCAUUAGCUCAGUCGGGAGAGCGUCUGGUUCGCAAUCAGAAGGUCGGGGGUUCGAUUCCCCCAUGCUCCACCA
Molecule: transfer RNA, 76 nt
Filed under: Deltaproteobacteria bacterium
Lineage: Bacteria; Pseudomonadati; Myxococcota; Myxococcia
Description: tRNA-Ala
Rfam family: tRNA
About the family: Transfer RNA (tRNA) molecules are approximately 80 nucleotides in length.
Source: RNAcentral